RNAcentral lists this ribosomal RNA (2904 nucleotides) under Enterobacter hormaechei. RNAcentral describes it as "23S ribosomal RNA". It matches the Rfam family "Bacterial large subunit ribosomal RNA". Lineage: Bacteria; Pseudomonadati; Pseudomonadota; Gammaproteobacteria; Enterobacterales; Enterobacteriaceae. RNAcentral also lists the same sequence under 1 other name. The record is from RNAcentral.
GGUUAAGCGACUAAGCGUACACGGUGGAUGCCCUGGCAGUCAGAGGCGAUGAAGGACGUGCUAAUCUGCGAAAAGCGCCGGCGAGGUGAUAUGAACCUUUGACCCGUCGAUGUCCGAAUGGGGAAACCCAGUGUGUUCCGACACACUAUCGUUAACUGAAUACAUAGGUUAACGAGGCGAACCGGGGGAACUGAAACAUCUAAGUACCCCGAGGAAAAGAAAUCAACCGAGAUUCCCCCAGUAGCGGCGAGCGAACGGGGAGCAGCCCGGAGUCUGAAUCAGCUUGUGUGUUAGUGGAACGGUCUGGAAAGUCCGACGGUACAGGGUGAUAGUCCCGUACACGAAAAUACACUUGCUGUGAACUCGAAGAGUAGGGCGGGACACGUGGUAUCCUGUCUGAAUAUGGGGGGACCAUCCUCCAAGGCUAAAUACUCCUGACUGACCGAUAGUGAACCAGUACCGUGAGGGAAAGGCGAAAAGAACCCCGGCGAGGGGAGUGAAAAAGAACCUGAAACCGUGUACGUACAAGCAGUGGGAGCACCUUCGGGUGUGACUGCGUACCUUUUGUAUAAUGGGUCAGCGACUUAUAUUCUGUAGCAAGGUUAACCGUAUAGGGGAGCCGAAGGGAAACCGAGUCUUAACUGGGCGUUAAGUUGCAGGGUAUAGACCCGAAACCCGGUGAUCUAGCCAUGGGCAGGUUGAAGGUUGGGUAACACUAACUGGAGGACCGAACCGACUAAUGUUGAAAAAUUAGCGGAUGACCUGUGGCUGGGGGUGAAAGGCCAAUCAAACCGGGAGAUAGCUGGUUCUCCCCGAAAGCUAUUUAGGUAGCGCCUCGUGAACUCAUCUUCGGGGGUAGAGCACUGUUUCGGCUAGGGGGCCAUCCCGGCUUACCAACCCGAUGCAAACUACGAAUACCGAAGAAUGUUAUCACGGGAGACACACGGCGGGUGCUAACGUCCGUCGUGAAGAGGGAAACAACCCAGACCGCCAGCUAAGGUCCCAAAGUCAUGGUUAAGUGGGAAACGAUGUGGGAAGGCACAGACAGCCAGGAUGUUGGCUUAGAAGCAGCCAUCAUUUAAAGAAAGCGUAAUAGCUCACUGGUCGAGUCGGCCUGCGCGGAAGAUGUAACGGGGCUAAACCAUGCACCGAAGCUGCGGCAGCGACACUAUGUGUUGUUGGGUAGGGGAGCGUUCUGUAAGCCGUUGAAGGUGUGCUGUGAGGCAUGCUGGAGGUAUCAGAAGUGCGAAUGCUGACAUAAGUAACGAUAAAGCGGGUGAAAAGCCCGCUCGCCGGAAGACCAAGGGUUCCUGUCCAACGUUAAUCGGGGCAGGGUGAGUCGACCCCUAAGGCGAGGCCGAAAGGCGUAGUCGAUGGGAAACAGGUUAAUAUUCCUGUACUUGGUGUUACUGCGAAGGGGGGACGGAGAAGGCUAUGUCAGCCGGGCGACGGUUGUCCCGGUUUAAGCAUGUAGGCGGAGGUUCCAGGUAAAUCCGGUACCUUAUUAACGCUGAGGUGUGAUGACGAGGCACUACGGUGCUGAAGUGAUAAAUGCCCUGCUUCCAGGAAAAGCCUCUAAGCAUCAGGUAACACGAAAUCGUACCCCAAACCGACACAGGUGGUCAGGUAGAGAAUACCAAGGCGCUUGAGAGAACUCGGGUGAAGGAACUAGGCAAAAUGGUGCCGUAACUUCGGGAGAAGGCACGCUGAUAUGUAGGUGAAGUCCCUGCGGACGGAGCUGAAAUCAGUCGAAGAUACCAGCUGGCUGCAACUGUUUAUUAAAAACACAGCACUGUGCAAACACGAAAGUGGACGUAUACGGUGUGACGCCUGCCCGGUGCCGGAAGGUUAAUUGAUGGGGUUAGCGGCAACGCGAAGCUCUUGAUCGAAGCCCCGGUAAACGGCGGCCGUAACUAUAACGGUCCUAAGGUAGCGAAAUUCCUUGUCGGGUAAGUUCCGACCUGCACGAAUGGCGUAAUGAUGGCCAGGCUGUCUCCACCCGAGACUCAGUGAAAUUGAACUCGCUGUGAAGAUGCAGUGUACCCGCGGCAAGACGGAAAGACCCCGUGAACCUUUACUAUAGCUUGACACUGAACACUGGUCCUUGAUGUGUAGGAUAGGUGGGAGGCUUUGAAGCGUGGACGCCAGUCUGCGUGGAGCCGUCCUUGAAAUACCACCCUUUAAUGGCUGGUGUUCUAACGUAGACCCGUGAUCCGGGUUGCGGACAGUGUCUGGUGGGUAGUUUGACUGGGGCGGUCUCCUCCCAAAGAGUAACGGAGGAGCACGAAGGUUGGCUAAUCCUGGUCGGACAUCAGGAGGUUAGUGCAAUGGCAUAAGCCAGCUUGACUGCGAGCGUGACGGCGCGAGCAGGUGCGAAAGCAGGUCAUAGUGAUCCGGUGGUUCUGAAUGGAAGGGCCAUCGCUCAACGGAUAAAAGGUACUCCGGGGAUAACAGGCUGAUACCGCCCAAGAGUUCAUAUCGACGGCGGUGUUUGGCACCUCGAUGUCGGCUCAUCACAUCCUGGGGCUGAAGUAGGUCCCAAGGGUAUGGCUGUUCGCCAUUUAAAGUGGUACGCGAGCUGGGUUUAGAACGUCGUGAGACAGUUCGGUCCCUAUCUGCCGUGGGCGCUGGAGAAUUGAGGGGGGCUGCUCCUAGUACGAGAGGACCGGAGUGGACGCAUCACUGGUGUUCGGGUUGUCAUGCCAAUGGCACUGCCCGGUAGCUAAAUGCGGAAGAGAUAAGUGCUGAAAGCAUCUAAGCACGAAACUUGCCCCGAGAUGAGUUCUCCCUGAGACUUUAAGUCUCCUGAAGGAACGUUGAAGACGACGACGUUGAUAGGUCGGGUGUGUAAGCGCAGCGAUGCGUUGAGCUAACCGAUACUAAUGAACCGUGAGGCUUAACCUU